AGCUAAAAUAUAAACAAACUUGGUAUCAAGUCUUGCUGUGUGGCCAUUGACAUCCUGAAUCCUGACUGUGGCAUGUGCUUUUGCACAGAAAAUUAAGAUUUUGGAGGUACCUAUUUUGAAGAAAAAGUGUAUAGAGAGAUAAAGCUGCUAUCCAUCACGGACCUGCAUGAUCCAUCUAACCUCUGAAUCACAGCUGUGUGACUGGAAUGAGCUGUGAAUGAAGAUGUGUCUGUCACAACAUUUGGAGAAUUUCAGGUUUGGAAUCAU
Long non-coding RNA from Cyprinus carpio (common carp), 267 nucleotides. Lineage: Eukaryota; Metazoa; Chordata; Actinopteri; Cypriniformes; Cyprinidae. The record is from Ensembl.